AGAGGCGCGGGGAGAAGUCCGGGGAGAGCGGGCGUUGGGUUUACUAGGCGCAUGCGCAAAGCGCUUUGGCUCAUUUACCUGUAAUUGAAGAAUGAGUCCCAGCUUGAGAUCCGUAUUCACCUUGCCUGCGAGCCCAGUCUCCCGGGGGGAAAGAGAGUGUGCAGGCGGAAAAAGCUUCAGCGCUGAGCACAGCCCCACCUGCUGAGCCACUGCCGACAGGACACAGGAGCAGGAGUGAGAGUAUCAGCGUAUCAGAUGGGCCCCAGGGUGUCUUGACUGCUGAUCAAGAGGAGGCAUCCCAGCCUCCUGCCCUCGGGGGAAAGGAUGCUGAAGGGCGUGGGUCUUCUACAGUCUCCCAGAGGCCCCAGCAGGAUUGAGCCCCAGUUUCUAUGAAGGCAACCUGGUCAUUCAUGCACCUUCUUUUGGCUUCUCCCCUGUUCCUGUCUCAGCUUCCCACUCCCUUAUAGGUGCUUGCUGGGGUCAUUUUCUUUCUUUCUUUUUCGGCGGCGCCAUGUGGCAUGUGGGAUCUUAGUUCCCCGACCAGGCAAUGGAACCCAUGACCCCUGCAUUGGGAGUGAAGAGUCUUAACCACUGGAUUGCCAGGGGAGUCCCCUUGCUGGUGUCAUUUUCUGAAUAGACUAUUUGCAUUUAAAUCCUUGUCUCAGAGUCAGCUGUGGAGGAGCCCAGCCAAAAACACUGGGACAAGUAAUUAUUGGACCAGGCAUUCUUUCAAGUGCUCUAUAUGUACAAACCCACUUAAUCCUCACAACCACCCUGUGAGGCAGGUGCUGUUGUUAUUACUCCCAUUUCACAGAUAAAGAAAACUGAGGCACAGAGAAGCUGGGACACUUGUAAAGGUCACACAGCAGAGAAAUGGUGGAGGUGGGAUCCACAUGUGGGCUUCUGACUGCAGAGCCACAACACUUAAGAGUAAAUCUCUCUGUUAUCCGUGUAAGAAA
Molecule: long non-coding RNA, 959 nt
Organism: Mesoplodon densirostris (Blainville's beaked whale)
Lineage: Eukaryota; Metazoa; Chordata; Mammalia; Artiodactyla; Ziphiidae
Exons: 3
Source: RefSeq, a predicted model, not a curated record